Molecule: long non-coding RNA, 361 nt
Organism: Drosophila gunungcola (fruit fly)
Lineage: Eukaryota; Metazoa; Arthropoda; Insecta; Diptera; Drosophilidae
Exons: 2
Source: RefSeq, a predicted model, not a curated record
AUUAAUGCAAGCGAUAAGGAGCUGCUCUGGGGUAUAAAUACAGUUGGACGAUGAUUAGAACCCUAUAUUCAGAAUAUCUGUCGUGAUGAAUUUCUUGGCUACCCUUUUUGCAGUGCUGGCUGUUCACUUAAUGGCGGCCUUCCCCGUUUUCGGGCAUGUUCCUUCCCAAUAUCCACGUGCAUCAACUGAUAAUGGCUCAAAAGGCGGUGGCUACGUAAUUUCAGAUUUUUCUGCUCAGCGAUAUGGUCAACGACCUACUGUUCAUGAAUAUGAAUAUGAUUCACCUCGUUACAAUUUCAGAAAAAACUAAUUGAAACAUGACAUGCCUUUAUUGUUUCAAGUGCAAUUAAAAUAACUAAUA